RNAcentral lists this ribosomal RNA (253 nucleotides) under uncultured bacterium. RNAcentral's name for it is "partial 16S ribosomal RNA". It matches the Rfam family "Bacterial small subunit ribosomal RNA", at positions 524 to 776 of the family's 1533-position model. The record is from RNAcentral.
UACGUAGGGUGCAAGCGUUGUCCGGAAUUAUUGGGCGUAAAGAGCUCGUAGGCGGUUUGUCGCGUCUGCUGUGAAAACUCGGGGCUUAACCUCCAGCCUGCAGUGGGUACGGGCAAACUAGAGUGCGGUAGGGGAGAUUGGAAUUCCUGGUGUAGCGGUGGAAUGCGCAGAUAUCAGGAGGAACACCGAUGGCGAAGGCAGAUCUCUGGGCCGUAACUGACGCUGAGGAGCGAAAGCAUGGGGAGCGAACAGG